GAUGAAGAACGUAGCGAAAUGCGAUACUUGGUGUGAAUUGCAGAAUCCCGUGAACCAUCGAGUCUUUGAACGCAAGUUGCGCCCGAAGCCAUUAGGCCGAGGGCACGCCUGCCUGGGCGUCACACGUCGUUGCCCCCCCAUCUACUCCUUCGGGCUUGCGGGGGGCGGAUGAUGGCCUCCCGUGCGCCACGCCGCGCGGUUGGCAUAAAUGCCAAGUCCUCGGCGACGCACGCCACGACAAUCGGUGGUUGCGAAACCUCGGUUGCCCGUCGUGUGCGGUCGUCGCGCAUCGAGGGCUCGAAAAAAUUGCCGGGUUCCGGCUCGGCUUUCAACGCGACCCCAGGUCAGGCGGGGUUACCCGCUGAAUUUAAGCAUAUCAAUAAGCGGAGGA
RNAcentral lists this unclassified non-coding RNA (391 nucleotides) under soil metagenome. RNAcentral describes it as "partial contains 5.8S ribosomal RNA, internal transcribed spacer 2, and large subunit ribosomal RNA". The stretch from base 1 to 122 matches the Rfam family "5.8S ribosomal RNA", at positions 35 to 154 of the family's 154-position model. The record is from RNAcentral.